GGCCCGGGGGUACCCGGCUCCUGCGGGAGCGGCGGCCAGCCGGAGCCCGGUGGUGCCCGCCCGGCGUCGCGCUGAGCCUCCGGCCAGCGCGCGGGUCAGUCGAGCGCAGGGUCCGCACGUACGUGCUGCAGCUUUAUUGAAGUGAAAUGAUAAAAAUGUACCGACUUGGGCGGGUUGUCCGCGCUUUUCGCUGAAAAACAGACGGGUCGCGCAGGCCGCCUGCGAUGUGACCGCAGACGGUGCCUGGUUCGUGUCAGCUUGCGGCUGCCGUGCAGCAGUGAUACAAGUCCUGCUCGGUACCAUCAAAACCCAUUCCUGCUCUGAGGAGAGCAGUUGAAGCAGUUUUAUAAGGAGGUGGAGAGCAGCCUGAUGCCUUUUAAAACAAAAAAAAACCCUAAGACAUUGAAAAGUGUUACCAGUUUUUCAGAUCUGAAAUACUUGAAGCUUCAUUUUCACUUCUGAAGGCAUUUUCUCAAGAAGCUGAUGCCAGAUACACUCACUGGAGAAAAAUCCUGACAUUUCCGAGCAAGUUCUCAUGGCAUGGAGGAGUAAUGCUGUGAUGCCUGGCCCAUUCCUUAGUGAAUCACAGAUAAACCAUAACCCCUAUAGAAGCUGACGAGUGGCAAUUUGAAGUACAGGAGGUAGUUGUCAUCUUAAUCACUUCUGUCAUCUCAGAGAGUGGGCCUUGGAGUCUUGGCCCUCUUGGUGCCUUGCUUGGCCUAUUUACUGCAUCCUGCACUGCUGACAGCUGAUGAUAACUUCCAUGGAUUUCUCUGGAAACAGAAAAGGAAAAUCCUUCUGUGAAACUGAGAAGUCUCUGUCAAGAUGCAUGGAAUUUCCUGCUGAAAUCACAAAGUCCA
Long non-coding RNA from Falco peregrinus (peregrine falcon), 860 nucleotides. RefSeq lists it as uncharacterized. The record is from RefSeq and is a predicted model, not a curated record. NCBI's taxonomy places the organism in Eukaryota, Metazoa, Chordata, Aves, Falconiformes, Falconidae. The transcript is spliced from 3 exons.